This 373-nucleotide ribosomal RNA is filed under the name uncultured organism. RNAcentral describes it as "partial 16S ribosomal RNA". It matches the Rfam family "Bacterial small subunit ribosomal RNA", at positions 527 to 896 of the family's 1533-position model. The record is from RNAcentral.
GUAGGUGGCAAGCGUUGUCCGGAAUUAUUGGGCGUAAAGCGCGCGCAGGUGGUUCUUUAAGUCUGAUGUGAAAGCCCCCGGGCUCAACCCGGGGAGGGUCAUUGGAAACUGGGGAACUUGAGUGCAGGAGAGGAAAGUGGAAUUCCACGUGUAGCGGUGAAAUGCGUAGAUAUGUGGAGGAACACCAGUGGCGAAGGCGACUUUCUGGCCUGUAACUGACACUGAGGCGCGAAAGCGUGGGGAGCAAACAGGAUUAGAUACCCUGGUAGUCCACGCCGUAAACGAUGAGUGCUAAGUGUGGGGGGUUUCCGCCCCUCAGUGCUGCAGCUAACGCAUUAAGCACUCCGCCUGGGGAGUACGGUCGCAAAGACUG